This 460-nucleotide ribosomal RNA is filed under the name uncultured bacterium. RNAcentral's name for it is "partial 16S ribosomal RNA". It matches the Rfam family "Bacterial small subunit ribosomal RNA", at positions 338 to 795 of the family's 1533-position model. The record is from RNAcentral.
CCUACGGGGUGCAGCAGUGAGGAAUAUUGGUCAAUGGACGAGAGUCUGAACCAGCCAAGUAGCGUGAAGGAUGACUGCCCUAUGGGUUGUAAACUUCUUUUAUAUGGGAAUAAAAUGUUCCACGUGUGGGAUUUUGUAUGUACCAUAUGAAUAAGGAUCGGCUAACUCCGUGCCGGCAGCCGCGGUAAUACGGAGGAUCCGAGCGUUAUCCGGAUUUAGUGGGUGUAAAGGGAUCGUAGGUGGAUUGUUAAGUCAGUUGUGAAAGUUUGCGGCUCAACCGUAAAAUUGCAGUUGAAACUGGCAGUCUUGAGUACAGUAGAGGUGGGCGGAAUUCGUGGUGUAGCGGUGAAAUGCUUAGAUAUCACGAAGAACUCCGAUUGCGAAGGCAGCUCACUGGACUGCAACGGACACUGAGGCUCGAAAGUGUGGGUAUCAAACAGGAUUAGAUACCCCAGUAGUC